Molecule: unclassified non-coding RNA, 281 nt
Filed under: uncultured fungus
Lineage: Eukaryota; Fungi
Description: partial contains 5.8S rRNA, ITS2 and 28S rRNA
Rfam family: Eukaryotic large subunit ribosomal RNA
Source: RNAcentral
AAGGAGUCUAACACAUGUGCGAGUAUUUGAGUGUCAAACUCGAAUGCGUAAUGAAAAUGACUGAUGGGAACUUUUUGUGCACCAUCAACCAAUCUUUUAAUGAAUAGAUUUGAGUAAGAGCAUAUUUGUUGGGACCCGAAAGAUGGUGAACUAUGCCUGAAUAGGGUGAAGCCAGAGGAAACUCUGGUGGAGGCUCGUAGGGGUUCUGACGUGCAAAUCGAUCUUCAAAUUUGGGUAUAGGGGCGAAAGACUAAUCGAACCAUCUAGUAGCUGGUUCCCUC